RNAcentral lists this long non-coding RNA (1072 nucleotides) under Heterocephalus glaber (naked mole-rat). Its description in RNAcentral is "lncRNA (ENSHGLG00100039290.1)". The record is from RNAcentral. Lineage: Eukaryota; Metazoa; Chordata; Mammalia; Rodentia; Bathyergidae.
CUCUGAUUGGCUGGCCGGAGGCGGAGCGAUUGUCAGGCGGCCCAAUCGGAGCGUGGUUUCCCACGGGCUCCCGCGGCCCCGCCCCCACGGCCUCCGGUGGAGGCUCCCUGGCAGCUCCCAUUGGCUGCCGGCGAGCGGUCCAGAGCUCGGCGGGGCACAUCUGCGCCGCCGCCGUCGGGCGCUCAGCUCUGCAGCGCGGAGAUCGCUUUGGAGCUCUCAGCUCCAGGGCCCCAGCGGCCCCGCAUUGUGCCCGGCGCGGGCGCGGGCGCGGGGAUCUGGGGCGGGCUUUGCAGAGCGCAUUUCCUGGAGGUUCUGCUUCUCAGCCACAGAUGGAAAAGAUGGAAUAUCUCUUCCUAGCUCCUAACCUAGCUGUCUCAGUCCAUUCAGGCCACUGUAAUAAAGUACCAGAAACCAGGUUGCUAGUUGAUGGCUGCAUUCCAGAUGUUAACACUGUCAGAAGCUUGACUUCCAUGUGUGCUGGGAAUCGAACUCAGGACCUUGAAUUUGCAAGGUAUUAUGACAAGUACUGGAGAAGGCUUAUGAUCGCCCAGUGGAUGAGACAUGUAUCCGUGCAUACAUGGAUCUGUGCAUACAUGAAGACAGGACUGUAAGGCAGAAGGAGAAGUAUGCAAAACUUAGAAGAGAAAUGCCUGUUGUGUUAGGAUCUGCAGAGGAGAUCUUUUCUCCUGAUCACUGCCAUAAAUAUUUGAAGAUGAGAUCGGGGGGGUCCUCAAAUUAUUGUCUGCGGACCAAAUCCUGCAGGCUUUCUGGUUUUGUGCAAUCAUUGAAAUACAAAUACUUUUUAUAUUUUUAAAUGGCUGAGAAUUAAAAAAACCCCACAAGGGCAAUAUAGUCAUGUGCCACAAACCAUGUUUCAGUCAGUAAUGGGUCAUACAUUGUUCAGUGGCCCCAUAUAAGAUUUCGUUGUCUGCGAUGUUGUAGCUGGUUUAGUUUGUAUACAUACAUUCUAUGAUGUUUGUACAACGAUGAAGUAGCCUAACGAUGAGUUUCUCAAAAUGUAUCCCCCUCAUUAAGUGAUACACAGCUGUAAUAAUUUGUGCCCUGUGAAAAU